GACGAACGCUGGCGGCGUGCUUAACACAUGCAAGUCGAACGGUGAAGCCUUCGGGUGGAUCAGUGGCGAACGGGUGAGUAACACGUGAGCAAUCUGCCCUUGACUCUGGGAUAACUUCGGGAAACCGGAGCUAAUACCGGAUAUGACAUCUGGCCGCAUGGUCUGGGUGUGGAAAGAUUUAUCGGUCAAGGAUGAGCUCGCGGCCUAUCAGCUUGUUGGUGGGGAAUGGCCCACCAAGGCGACGACGGUAGCCGGCCUGAGAGGGCGACCGGCCACACUGGGACUGAGACACGGCCCAGACUCCUACGGGAGGCAGCAGUGGGGAAUAUUGCGCAAUGGGCGGAAGCCUGACGCAGCGACGCCGCGUGAGGGAUGAAGGCCUCGGUCGUAA
This 391-nucleotide ribosomal RNA is filed under the name uncultured bacterium. RNAcentral's name for it is "bacterial SSU rRNA". It matches the Rfam family "Bacterial small subunit ribosomal RNA", at positions 28 to 428 of the family's 1533-position model. The record is from RNAcentral.